RNAcentral lists this unclassified non-coding RNA (341 nucleotides) under Streptococcus parasanguinis. Its description in RNAcentral is "partial 16S-23S ribosomal RNA intergenic spacer". The stretch from base 1 to 77 matches the Rfam family "Bacterial small subunit ribosomal RNA", at positions 1457 to 1533 of the family's 1533-position model. Lineage: Bacteria; Bacillati; Bacillota; Bacilli; Lactobacillales; Streptococcaceae. The record is from RNAcentral.
CUAAGGUGGGAUAGAUGAUUGGGGUGAAGUCGUAACAAGGUAGCCGUAUCGGAAGGUGCGGCUGGAUCACCUCCUUUCUAAGGAAAAGGAAACCUGUACGUUGGUCUUGUUUAGUUUUGAGAGGUCUUGUGGGGCCUUAGCUCAGCUGGGAGAGCGCCUGCUUUGCACGCAGGAGGUCAGCGGUUCGAUCCCGCUAGGCUCCAUUAACACUUUAGUAGUGUUAAGUUUGAACAUUGAAAAUUGAAUAUCUAUAUCAAAUAGUAACAAGAAAAAUAAACCGAAACGCUGUAAAUAUUUAAAGAGUUUAGGUCGUAAGACCAAAAAUAAGGUUAAGUUAAUAA